CUUGGCAGGAGAAGGGGGAAGCGGUCGGGUUUUUCCUGGGCUCGUUACCGGGGUGACAUUCAGUGCCAGGCGAGCUUCGCCGGUCACCGCCAACUCCCACCUGGAAAACAAACCAAACCAAACAAAAAGAGAAACCAACCCCCCUUCACUCCCCCCCCCCCCAAAAAAAAACCCCCAACCUGCUAUACCGAAGGGGGGGCGACCCGAUGGGGAGGCCGACGGGACACCUCGCCCAGGGGAUGCGGGGAUACUUGGAGGCACGCAGGAGCAGCCAGCAGGCCAUUUGCCGAGCCGCCGCGGGAUCGGGAAACGGGUUGGGGGGGGCCCGUUUAAUAUAUAUAUUAUAUAUAUAAUAUAUGUAUUGAAAGAAAAGGCUCCCGAAACGCAGGAGGCGGCGUAAAAUGCUCCUAGGCGAGGAGUGAGGAUGCUGCCGUGCAGGCCCGGCGCCGCACGGCAGCAUCCCCCCCCCCCCCAGUCUCCUCCAAGCCUCUGCAGGGGAAGGCUGGGGGGGGGUGUGUGUGCGGGACACGGACUUCCCCCGCCGCACAGACCCCGGGUUCAAUUUGGGGUGCUCCCGCGGGGCGCGGCGGCCGCUCGGCAGCACAAUGGCGUCGCUGCUAAGGACUGGCGCAAACCCUGGCGGGAUUUACUCGCGGGUGCUUAAACCAUCUCCCCCUACCUCCGCUGCCAGGGCUGCGGAGCAGCUAUUUCCGAAAGCUGGGCGGUUUUACGUUAAAAGAGCGGGCGAGCUCCGGCCUGCAGUUGGCACCGGGGUUGGUGUGAGCAGUGGUAGGGGCUGGCAAGGCACCCGCGAUUUCUUCCCUUGAUUUUCUUGUACUUUCAGGCAAAUCCUCUAAGUCUACGCAAAUAAUCUUGCUAAAUUCAGGGCACCUUCUACACGUUGGAUUUAACCCGCGUGCAGAAGUAUUUCCAUGACUAGGCCUCUCUCAAAAGCAAACUGCCCAUGGUCGCUUCGGUUUAAGCGCCUCUUCAGCUAAAGAUCAAUUGCUGCACACACACACUCUUAAUAGCCCCAACUGCUGAAACACCACAACACCCUGCAGAGUGACCACAGAGCGUCCCAGCAGUGCCCAAAGUCAAGUUUACCUCUUCUGCACUGAGUUGUGCACCACCUAUUUUAAUAACCAGUUACAACGUUGGGGAUACACAUGUAACUAGUACAGCGGAGUUCAUGAAGCGACACAUGUAGCAGGGCUGAAAUGAAAUUAUUUUUCUGUGGCCGCCUCUGUUCAGCCUUAAUAUUAGAAUUAACGCUUUCAUUUUCCUCAUUUAAAUACAAUAAAAGGAAAAUUGCUUUUGCUUAAUAUUGCUACUAAUCAGGUUUUGCUAUUCCAGUUGUUAGAAGGUAAUAAAGUCAGGGAGAAGUCAGUGUGCGCCUCUUCUGUUGCUGGACUCUGUGCUCUCACCGGCACCAUGUUUUAAAUGGCUAUCUCGCCUCUUGCAGCUGGAAAAAUAGUUGGGGGAAAAGGAAGUCCCUCUCGGAAUAUGGUACAGUCCAAACAUCAUUUUAAGGAGCCUGAAAGUGAAAGCACUUUUUUCUUUCUCUCUGUCUUCUUUUAACCCAAGCUAUUUAAGAUGCUUUCUGGCUUGGCUAGAAAGACGAGUCUGCUUCAUGUUUCUGUUUUGGACUUGGUUUGAACUGCUUUUAAGUGAAAUUCUUACCUGUCUGAACUAUACUGUCUCAGCAGAGCUGGGUACAUUACUGAUAUAUUUUUUUGGUAGACCUGAAAAGCAUUUUGUACAGCUUGAUCGUUGUCUGUAUUUCGUCAUUAGUUUUUUUAAGUCAGGCUCUUCUGAUUGAUGUGGGGAAUUGCUUUGAAAGGAUGAAGGGUAUGGCAUAGCUACCCAAGAUGCUACUUGCAAUUAUUCCAUACCUCAGCUAAGAGGGAGAUUUUUAGUUGUGAUUGUUACACUUUUAAAAGUGAAUUAGUUAAUCAAAUUGCUAUUUUUGGAAUGCUCUUAAAGGAACAUUAAAAUGCAUAAAUUUCAUUAAAAUAAAUGAGCAGAUAGGCAACAAAACAAGUAUUAGUCAAAUAAGAUCUCACCCAUGGAGCCAAAUUCAGCCCUAGUGACAUCAACUGAGUUGUGCUUGUCUACAGCAUAUUUAAUUUGGCCUCUGCAGCCACACAGGUGACACUAUGUGGUUGUCAAAGGUGUGUAUAUUAAAAAUGUGCGAGCCAUGCUUCUCCAACAUGAUUAACCUCUGAAAUUCACCUGGUUUCCAUUUAACUCAGCUGGGCCAUCCUAUCGCAUAUGCAAUUUUUGGUGCUCAUACACCCCAGAGAUGCAGAGAGGCAUCCCCAACCCUGGUAUUAGUCUAAGGGACAUGAGGUGUCUCUGAAGUGAGGGUGUGAUGAGGUGGAUUUCAGCAGAGGCUGUUCACAAUGGGCUGCGUGUAUGCUUCAGUUAAAAGGCUGCACUGAAGUCUCUCCUGCCAUCUUUCAUUACUGUUGUUACUCAUGCCAGUGAGAGUAAAGGAAAGGUUGGUAUGUCUAUAAUCACACGUUCAUUUGCUAUGUAGAUAUAUCCUAAGAGCCUCUCAGCACAGGAAAAUUAUCCUGAAAUAAGGUUGGACGUGAAUGUCAAGCAGAAUGUGCUCAGAUAGCUUGUUCAUUCUGGAAUGACCAAGCUGUUUCCUGGUUUCACUUAAUCCACUUUCAAAGUGGAUUAAGAUAAUUCAAGAAAGGGAAUUCUUCUGCUGGUACAAGAUUUGUCUACACAUGGGUUUAGUCAAAAGUCAUUACUGCAGUGUACCUAAUAGGUGUUUUGGAAUGAUUUGGCUCAUAGACAAGUCCAAAGUCCCACAGGUGAAAAUAACAGAAUUUAGUCUUUCUGUAUAACAUGAGGUUAAUUUACCCCAAUGUUUUACCUACUUCUUUCCUUGUGAAGCAUGUUUAAUUCAUUACAUGUUUUUCUUUUAUCAACAAAUCCCACAACAGCUCUGUAUUUAUGAUCAAUUCCAGGGUAGAAAUGCCAUGUGCACUCCACUAAAAUAAACAAUUUAAUCAGUAUAUACACCAAGUACCUUCUCAACUGCCUUGAGGUUGACAAUAGUUUCUUUGCUGGAGAAAAUACCAGCUUCUCAAUGGUGAAGUAGUCCCGCUACUCCAUGUAACAGGCAAUGAUGCCACACAUUGGAUUCUCCUUCCUAAGCUCAAUUUGUGAUUAUGAGCAUGGCUUUGCUCUCAUGUGUUGGUCUGGGUUGAGGAUACAGAGAGUGGAUUUCACAUGUGCCUCCCUCACACCAAACCUGCUUAUUUAAGAAAGAAGCUUUGUGGUAAGAAAGGGAAUUUCUCAUCCAGCGGGGAAAGUGUCUUUAAGUCUCUGAGAUGAUAGCACAACAUGGGCAAGAGGAAACCUCAGCACACAGCCAAUGCAAUGAAAUUAAGGAUCCUCUAUGGGAAUUGGUUAGUAGUGCCAAUGGUUAAUAUUUGUCAUAACAACAACCAACAGUUUUGUUUUUUGUUCUAACAAUGUGAAUUACGCAUUAAACAUUAAUACAAGCGAGUGUACUUUUCUUUUGAUCUUCAAGCAUAGUCAUUUCAAAUGAGAGUUUAUACAUGAGCAUUGAAACAAAUCCCUGAGUCAUGUGAAUUUACAUUGGUUUUACUCUGUGGGAAAGAUAUCCCACAUGAGUUACCCAUGUCUGCAAAACAUAACAUACUCAUAAAUCAGAAGGAAAAAAUAAGAAGAGCUUGUUUUUGGCUGUUGGAAUGUAAAUAUCUGUGUAGAUAUUUAGCUUGUACGCUAGUGGUAAUGCAACAUUAAAAAGUUAAUUUAUCAGAGAUCAGGAUUCGGCAUGGGGCCCUCACCUAAUAGGAGAUCCAAGUCAGCUCAGAAUAAGCAAGCUCACCCUUUAGCUUCUGCAGUCUGGCUCCUGCUGAGUAGUGAGCCUAGUGUCAGAGGAAUUUGAACUAACUCAAAGGGAUCAGAAUUUGGCUUGCUUCAUACAGACAAAAGUUGCCAAACUGCCGUCAUUAAGUAGUAAUACUGCAUGUACUUCGCAGACAAACUGUACGGUGCUGAGUGGCACCUUUCCAAAUGCCCUUGACAGCCAGCUGCAGUGCAAGGCUGACCCAGUCCAGACCAACUCUAGAACCUGCUCGGCCAUAUCUGAUACCUGCUCCUCUCGUUUUAACAUCAGUCACCAACAUUGCAUUCCAUGAAAAUAUAAACACUAUGGACUGUGUAUCUGCCAAGACAGUUAUUUAAAAUAAAAACAGAAUUUAAGCCCUUUCCCCUUCCCCAUGCUACACAAAUAUUGCAAUAACCAGCAGUCUGCACUUAAGUAACUAUGCUGUAUGUGCAAAGUACAUAUGACUUACUGAGGAAAGGACAGGUACAAAACAGCACGUGAUAGGCCUGAUUCCUGGGUAUACAGGUAGUGACUACAGGAUUUCCAGAAUGCCUCUUGCCUUUCCAAAACAGGUCUCGAAGCCAGAGGUUGCAGAAGAGGAACGGCUGCCAAGAAGGUAUUAUGUUUAAUGGCAGAUAGGCUCUAUCUAUGAUUCAGGUCAUAGCUCAGGAAUCUCAAAAGCCCAUUAAUGUAUUUCAUUCUUAAUGUAUAAGUGCUAAAGGAGUCCUGGAAGCCAGAGAUCCAGGAUUAUCCCACAUAACUCAGUGUUCUCACAGGAGGCUACAGUCAUGCUGCCCUGCUGCUUCUUUUCUGUGGCCUGAAUAACCUUAAACGCUGAUGGUAGAGCUUCAAAAGGAAGAGCGGAAGAAGCCUAUGCAUAGAAUAGUUUAUAGAGUGGAAGAGGAAGAAACAUGAAACCCUUCAUCCAUGAACUUGAAUUCUCUAGCUGCUAUGUUUUAUAUAAAGACAGAGGAACUGAUACUGUUGAGUUGAGAAGAAAGCACCUGUGACGCUCCAUUAGGGAACCCCAGCACUGUUUGUGUGAAUUAAGCCUUCCCUGAGGUUUCAGAACUUCACCUGGCAUGUUGAGGCAAAAGAUGAAUAGGUUAAUGUUGGAUCUUAAGCAGUUUUGGGCUGAAGGCUCAACUACCUCAGCUCCAUCGAGACCAUGCUUGAAGCACACAGACAUUGCCCAGCUUUAGAAGUUUAGUGAGUCUUCUGGCUUUUCAAAAUGCCUGGGUACAUCCCCAGCACACACAAAAAGCUGUACUUGCAAAGAUGUGAUAGAUACAGGUAGAAAAAGGUGUAUGGAAGCUUGUAAGGAGGACUUCCUUAGCAUCAGUCAGGGUGACAAAGCCUGUUGGACCGCAGGGUCCCAGGCUGCGUCCACAGGCCUGGGUUUCCUGCUAGAAACGCUCCCCUGCCAUUUGGUGCAUGUUAGAGAUGCUCAUUUCUAGAGACCCAAAUGAAAUGUGCUGAUACUAAACCCAUCCUUCCUCUUACACCUGACGGCCUCCAGCAGGUGGUCAGGAGGCCAAUAGGAAGGAGAGGACAUGAGUUUUAAUCCGUUUGUUCAUGAUGAAAAAUUAUGAGAAAAGUGAAAACAUCUUAUUCUAUAGAGGAAUGCUUUUACUUAUAUUUAACUGCUUAACCCCAGUCAGAACCCUGAUUUCCAUUACUGUAUAUGAAUGACAUGGUAUGGUGAAACCUUAUUCAGUAAUUAGCUGGUCAGAGCCACAGACUAGAAAACAGCUAUGCAGCCAGUGAAAGCUGACAUAGCUCUCAUGAAAUCAGUGGGCUCAUACCAAUUCAUACUACCUGGGAAUCUGGUCUUCAAUUUCCAAUUAAAAAAUUGCAUUUUUCCAUUAUAUUUGUUGGGCCUGUUCAGCCUGGAGAAGUGAAGCUGCAUGGAGACCUCAGAGCAGCUUCCAAUAUCUGAAGGGGGCUACAAGGAUGCUGGAGAGGGACUCUUCAUCAGGGACUGUAGCAGUAGGACAAGGGGUGAUGGGUUCAAACUGAAGCAGAGGAAGUUCAGGUUAGAUAUAGGGAAGAAGUUCUUCUCUAUGAGGGUGGUGAGGCACUGGCACAGGGUGCCCAGAGAAGUUGUGAAUGCUCCAUCCCUGGCAGUGUUCAAGGCCAGGUUGGACAGAGCCUUGGGUGACAUGGUCUAGUGUAAGCUGUCCCUGCCUAUGGCAGGGGGUUGGAACCAGAUGAUCUUAAGGUCCUUUCCAACCCAAACCAUUCUAUGAUUUCGGUCAUAUUAUACAGCAAAAGCAAUAAAGUAGAAAGUUCUAAAUAUUUAUACAGCCAAGACAGAAGCAGAACCAAUGCAAAGUCUUCAGCAAUCAAAUCCUACAACCACAUUAUCACAUAUUUCAGUGUUGGAGCCAUGUGGGUUACUCCUUAACUUUAGGGCAGCUCAUUUUCUUGACUCCAUCUUUCCAGACACUAUUAGAGCUACAGCCUUCCCCUCCCCUCCUGUGCUAAUCUACCACCCCCAGGGAGAGGGGAACAAGUUACACGAUGGGUGUUUGUCCAUGGGCGGAUGUCUAAAUGUGAAGGGAAACAACUGAAUUUUAAUGACAGAAGAUAAUUUCUGGGCAGUGCAGGAAUUAGUGGGGCUUGCCGCUGCCAGGAGCUGCAUGCUAUGCUCUUCUCUCCUACUGAGGUUAGCAAGAUGCAGAUGAGAAGGAUGCAGAAACAAGUCCCACAAUACUAGCUCCUUCUCUCAUGCCAGAAAUAGCAGGGCAAGAGACCUACUGCCGUCAGGCCCAACAGAGUUGCCCCAGUGUCAGUGCAGAGCGAUGUUGGCAAAAAUCAGGGUAACUGCUCCACCUUUACACCAGCAAAGAUGUGUUCUCAUUAGGUAUUUAUAGCCUAGUAGCAUUGUUCAGGGGAAGAAGGUACAUUUAUUAAGUGCUGUACAAAAUAUUUCAUCAGAUUAAAUUCCUGCACCCAAAAGCCCAACAAAAAAGAUUGCAGGGUGACAAACAACAGGAUAUCCUGGGAAGAAAGUACACCAGUAAUUG
Molecule: long non-coding RNA, 6906 nt
Organism: Strigops habroptila (Kakapo)
Lineage: Eukaryota; Metazoa; Chordata; Aves; Psittaciformes; Psittacidae
Exons: 4
Source: RefSeq, a predicted model, not a curated record